RNAcentral lists this ribosomal RNA (492 nucleotides) under uncultured bacterium. RNAcentral's name for it is "bacterial SSU rRNA". It matches the Rfam family "Bacterial small subunit ribosomal RNA", at positions 28 to 526 of the family's 1533-position model. The record is from RNAcentral.
AACGAACGUUGGCGGCGUGGAUUAGGCAUGCAAGUCGAACGAAUCCCCGGUAGCUUGCUACCGGGGGGAAGUGGCGAAAGGGGCAGUAAUGCGUGGGUAACCUACCCCGGGGACGUGGAUAGCCCUCCUAACGGAGGGGUAAUACACGGCGAUCUGGUUGGGAGGCAUCUCCUGUUCAGGAAAUGAAUCUCGCCUCGGGAGGGGCUCACGUCGUAUUAGCUUGUUGGUGAGGUAACGGCUCACCAAGGCGAAGAUGCGUAGCGGGUGUGAGAGCACGACCCGCGCCACUGGCACUGAGACACUGGCCAGACUCCUACGGGAGGCUGCAGUCGAGGAUCUUCGGCAAUGGGCGCAAGCCUGACCGAGCGACGCCGCGUGUGCGAUGAAGGCCUUCGGGUUGUAAAGCACUGUCGAGGGGGAGUAAGCCCGCAAGGGUUGAACUAUCCCUGGAGGAAGCACGGGCUAAGUUCGUGCCAGCCGCCGCCGUAAUAC